Molecule: ribosomal RNA, 565 nt
Filed under: uncultured cyanobacterium
Lineage: Bacteria; Bacillati; Cyanobacteriota
Description: bacterial SSU rRNA
Rfam family: Bacterial small subunit ribosomal RNA
Source: RNAcentral
CCUACGGGAGGCAGCAGUGGGGAAUUUUCCGCAAUGGGCGAAAGCCUGACGGAGCAACGCCGCGUGAGGGAUGAAGGCCUCUGGGCUGUAAACCUCUUUUAUCAGGGAAGAAGAUCUGACGGUACUUGAUGAAUAAGCCACGGCUAAUUCCGUGCCAGCAGCCGCGGUAAUACGGGAGUGGCAAGCGUUAUCCGGAAUUAUUGGGCGUAAAGCGUCCGCAGGCGGUCUUGUAAGUCUGUCGUUAAAGCGUGGAGCUUAACUCCAUUUCAGCGAUGGAAACUGCAAGACUAGAGUGUGGUAGGGGCAGAGGGAAUUCCCGGUGUAGCGGUGAAAUGCGUAGAUAUCGGGAAGAACACCAGUGGCGAAGGCGCUCUGCUGGGCCAUAACUGACGCUGAGGAGCGAAAGCGUGGGGAGCGAACAGGAUUAGAUACCCUGGUAGUCCACGCCGUAAACGGUGGGUGCUAGCUGUGGGCCACAUUCCACGUGGUCCGUGACGAAGUUAACACAUUAAGCACCCCGCCUGGGGAGUACGGUCGCAAGACUAAAACUCAAAGGAAUUGACGG